AAUGGGCGCAAGCCUGAUCCAGCCAUGCCGCGUGAGUGAAGAAGGCCCUUGGGUUGUAAAGCUCUUUCGUCGGGGAAGAAAAUGACUGUACCCGAAUAAGAAGGUCCGGCUAACUUCGUGCCAGCAGCCGCGGUAAUACGAAGGGACCUAGCGUAGUUCGGAAUUACUGGGCUUAAAGAGUUCGUAGGUGGUUGAAAAAGUUAGUGGUGAAAUCCCAGAGCUUAACUCUGGAACUGCCAUUAAAACUUUUCAGCUAGAGUGUGAUAGAGGAAAGCAGAAUUUCUAGUGUAGAGGUGAAAUUCGUAGAUAUUAGAAAGAAUACCAAUUGCGAAGGCAGCUUUCUGGAUCAUUACUGACACUGAGGAACGAAAGCAUGGGUAGCGAAGAGGAUU
This 392-nucleotide ribosomal RNA is filed under the name uncultured Gammaproteobacteria bacterium. RNAcentral describes it as "bacterial SSU rRNA". It matches the Rfam family "Bacterial small subunit ribosomal RNA", at positions 370 to 779 of the family's 1533-position model. Lineage: Bacteria; Pseudomonadati; Pseudomonadota; Gammaproteobacteria. The record is from RNAcentral.